Long non-coding RNA from Chinchilla lanigera (long-tailed chinchilla), 897 nucleotides. RefSeq lists it as uncharacterized. The record is from RefSeq and is a predicted model, not a curated record. The transcript is spliced from 3 exons. Lineage: Eukaryota; Metazoa; Chordata; Mammalia; Rodentia; Chinchillidae.
GUAUAUCUUUUGCCAUCAUCACCUUUGGAUAUUUGUGUGCAGUAUCUUCAAACUUCCAACAGAGACUUACACCAGUGACUCCUCUCUGAGUUUCCAGGGCUUGGAUUGGACUUGGUCCUGCAUCCUUGAUUCCACUUGUGUUGUUUUAUUCCAUCCUCUUGACCUGAGCAGCUACUGGACUCUCUGGAUCUCCAGCAUACAGGAAAACCACCUGAAUUCUUUCUAUCAAGAGUCUUUGAUUUCUAUCAGAAGAGCUCGGUGCACAACUGCCAAGACCAUGAGAGCGGGAAACUCUGACAGUGACUUCGGAGUUUCUCAUAAUGAAACUUUAAAAAUGGACCCUAAGCUUCUAUUGGUAAAAGACAGAUGAUGCCACCAAUGGACUGAUGAAAAAAAAGAGAAUGAAUGAAUGAACUAGUUGGUGCUGGACACAGGGAAAUAUUUCAGAAAAAUUUUUUUUUUCUUCACAUGGGCAAAGCACAGUCGCCACCAAUCUGGGAGAACAAGAUGAGAUUACAAGGUCAAAAAACAACUGCUCACCGUAACAAAUGAGAAAGCCGUCUUCAGAUGACAUCUCUGAUUCCUACCCUAUGUAACUGCUCACCGUAACAAAUGAGAAAGCCGUCUUCAGAUGACAUCUCUGAUUCCUACCCUAUGUAAUAAUUUACAAACAGCUCGUUUCUUCUUACGUCACUUCACAGUUUUCUCCGAGAGUAUUGAUGCGCAAUUGCUUUUCAUUUGUUCAACUAAAGAAGGAUUUAGGAUUUUUUUCCCAAAAUGAAUGACUCAAGCUUCUAUUUCUAGAAAGAUGAGUGUGAUGUAGCACUUUUUCAGGUCCUAUUCAAUGAAGUGUUAAUCUCCAGAUUCAUUUUCCAGAUCCAGUGGCAUUAAUAUCAA